RNAcentral lists this ribosomal RNA (253 nucleotides) under uncultured bacterium. RNAcentral's name for it is "partial 16S ribosomal RNA". It matches the Rfam family "Bacterial small subunit ribosomal RNA", at positions 524 to 776 of the family's 1533-position model. The record is from RNAcentral.
UACGUAGGUGGCGAGCGUUGUCCGGAUUUAUUGGGCGUAAAGGGAGCGUAGGCGGAUUUUUAAGUGAGAUGUGAAAUACUCGGGCUCAACUUGAGUGCUGCAUUUCAAACUGGAAGUCUAGAGUGCAGGAGAGGAGAAUGGAAUUCCUAGUGUAGCGGUGAAAUGCGUAGAGAUUAGGAAGAACACCAGUGGCGAAGGCGAUUCUCUGGACUGUAACUGACGCUGAGGCUCGAAAGCGUGGGGAGCAAACAGG